GGAUUUGUCAGUUGGUCGGGCUUCACGGUCCGCACUGGUGUGGUGGAUUCCUACCUUCUGAAUAACCAGCAUGUCAUUAAUUUGGUGCGUUGGGGAGGCAGGACUGUUACCUUGAAAAAAUUAGAGUGCUUAAAGCAGGCUAGUGCCUGAAUACAUUAGCAUGGAAUAAUGAAAUAGGACGGCAUGGUUCUAUUUUGUUGGUUUCUAGGAUCACCGUA
This 218-nucleotide ribosomal RNA is filed under the name Campeiostachys nutans. RNAcentral describes it as "Elymus nutans partial small subunit ribosomal RNA". The stretch from base 47 to 218 matches the Rfam family "Eukaryotic small subunit ribosomal RNA", at positions 692 to 864 of the family's 1831-position model. The record is from RNAcentral. Lineage: Eukaryota; Viridiplantae; Streptophyta; Magnoliopsida; Poales; Poaceae.